RNAcentral lists this ribosomal RNA (447 nucleotides) under uncultured bacterium. RNAcentral describes it as "bacterial SSU rRNA". It matches the Rfam family "Bacterial small subunit ribosomal RNA", at positions 328 to 792 of the family's 1533-position model. The record is from RNAcentral.
UAGCCAGACUCCUACGGGAGGCAGCAGUGGGGGAUAUUGCACAAUGGGGGAAACCCUGAUGCAGCGACGCCGCGUGAGUGAAGAAGUCUUUCGGUAUGUAAAGCUCUAUCAGCAGGGAAGAAAAUGACAGUACCUGACCAAGAAGCCCCGGCUAACUACGUGCCAGCAGCCGCGGUAAUACGUAGGGGGCAAGCGUUAUCCGGAUUUACUGGGUGUAAAGGGAGCGUAGACGGUUAUGUAAGUCUGGAGUGAAAGCCCGGGGCCCAACCCCGGGACUGCUUUGGAAACUGUGUAACUGGAGUACAGGAGGGGCAGGCGGAAUUCCUGGUGUAGCGGUGAAAUGCGUAGAUAUCAGGAGGAACACCGGCGGCGAAGGCGGCUUACUGGACCAUAACUGACGUUGAGGCUCGAAAGCGUGGGGAGCGAACAGGAUUAGAUACCCCAGUA